AUAUUAGAGUUGUUGCGGUUAAAAAGCUCGUAGUUGGAUUUCUGUCGAGAACUGGCGGUCUACACUUUGUGUAAGUAUCUGCUUAGGUCUUGGCAUCCUCCUGGGGAACGUUUCUGCGCUUGAUUGCGUGGAGCGGAAUUCAGGACUUUUACUUUGAGGAAAUUAGAGUGUUCACGGCAGGCAAACGCCUUGAAUAUAUUAGCAUGGAAUAAUAAUAUAGGACCUUUGUUCUAUUUUGUUGGUUUCUAGAGCGAAGGUAAUGAUUAAUAGGGAUAAUUGGGGGCAUUCGUAUUAACGCGUCAGAGGUGGAAUUCUUGGAUUGCGUUACGACGAACUACUGCGAAAGCAUUUGCCAAGGAUGUUUUCAUUGAUCAAGAACGAAAGUUAGGGGAUCGAAGACGCUUAGAUACCGUCGUAGUCUUAACCAUAAACUAUGCCGACUAGAGAUUGGAGGUCGUUCUUUUUAUGACUCCUUCAGCACCUUAUGAGAAAUCAAAGUCUUUGGGUUCCGGGGGGAGUAUGGUCGCAAGGCUGAAACUUAA
This 542-nucleotide ribosomal RNA is filed under the name uncultured alveolate. RNAcentral describes it as "SSU rRNA". It matches the Rfam family "Eukaryotic small subunit ribosomal RNA", at positions 601 to 1147 of the family's 1831-position model. The record is from RNAcentral.